CUCCCCCAAAGUUGGUUCUCUCUUCACAAGUUCCAUAACUACCCAAGACGCGCGGGGGCGGGACAGGUGGGAACGCAUUAACAACACUUAAAUCUGAAGUUGACAGCCAAAGGUACCAGUUUGGUGGGGAGACUUUCUCAAGCUCCCUUACACACUGCUCGGCGUUUGCUUUUGCCGCUGUACAUUUCAGCUCAUUUCUUUUUGCUGCUGCUGCUGCUGCUGCUUUGCGCUGCUCCGUCACGCCUUUAUCUCUUCGCUGCCAAAGGAGCCCGAAGCAGGAUAAAUUCCACGAGAUUCCCCAGCGGUUUCGUUCCUGUCCGAGUCCACCCUACCUAGGGCUGCCAAGGUUGGCUGCGCGGCCAAAAUCCCUCCUGCAGGCCAGGCCCUCCCCCUCCCCCCGGCUUGGUUUUUCCCAGCUGUGGAGGUUGGGCCAGGGGCUGGGGUGCUUGGAGAGUCGGCGCUUGCAUCGCGGAGCCCGGAAGUCGCCCUGACUCUGGUGGGACUCCGAGUUGGCUUCGGAGGUGGCGGGCACGGAGGUCGCGCAGCGGAUCCACUGACUAGCGCCAAUAUCAAGAGGCAAGGAGGUGCCACCCAGGGCGGCGCUGGAAGUGGAGCGGGAGGAGGAGCGCGGAGACCUGCGUCCCUACCCGCCGUGCGUACUUUCUGGAGGGAAGGGCGGGGGAAUUAGCCCCGGGAGGGGGACGCUUGGUGGCAAGGGGGUUAUUAGCCAAGUUCCGGCUGCGGUGGUCCCCCUGGGCUCCCACAAGAGGAAAGUUUUCUCCAGACGUUUCCGGCCGGCUCGCUCCCUCCGGGCCCAGCCUCCUGAGCCUUCGGAGCGGGCGCCGUCCCAGCCCAGCU
RNAcentral lists this long non-coding RNA (858 nucleotides) under Urocitellus parryii (Arctic ground squirrel). RNAcentral describes it as "lncRNA (ENSUPAG00010016089.1)". Lineage: Eukaryota; Metazoa; Chordata; Mammalia; Rodentia; Sciuridae. The record is from RNAcentral.